UGGGGAAUAUUGGACAAUGGGGGCAACCCUGAUCCAGCCAUGCCGCGUGAGUGAUGAAGGCCUUAGGGUUGUAAAACUCUUUCGGUGGUGACGAUAAUGACGGUAACCACUAAAGAAGCCCCGGCUAACUCCGUGCCAGCAGCCGCGGUAAUACGGAGGAUGCAAGCGUUAUUCGGAAUUAUUGGGCGUAAAGCGUCCGCAGGUGGUGCCUCAAGUCUGCUGUCAAAGACCGAAGCUCAACUUCGGGCAGGCAGUGGAAACUGAAGCACUAGAGUACGGUAGGGGUAGAGGGAAUUUCCAGUGUAGCGGUGAAAUGCGUAGAGAUUGGAAAGAACACCAGUGGCGAAGGCGCUCUACUGGACCGUAACUGACACUCAGGGACGAAAGCUAGGGGAGCGAAAGGGAUUAGAUACCCCUGUAGUCC
Molecule: ribosomal RNA, 424 nt
Filed under: uncultured prokaryote
Description: bacterial SSU rRNA
Rfam family: Bacterial small subunit ribosomal RNA
Source: RNAcentral